Molecule: ribosomal RNA, 1405 nt
Filed under: uncultured bacterium
Lineage: Bacteria
Description: bacterial SSU rRNA
Rfam family: Bacterial small subunit ribosomal RNA
Source: RNAcentral
GAGUUUGAUCAUGGCUCAGGACGAACGCUGGCGGCGUGCCUAAUACAUGCAAGUAGAACGCUGAGGAGAGGAGCUUGCUCUUCUUGGAUGAGUUGCGAACGGGUGAGUAACGCGUAGGUAACCUGCCUUGUAGCGGGGGAUAACUAUUGGAAACGAUAGCUAAUACCGCAUAACAAUAGGUGACACAUGUCAUUUAUUUGAAAGGGGCAAUUGCUCCACUACAAGAUGGACCUGCGUUGUAUUAGCUAGUAGGUGAGGUAACGGCUCACCUAGGCGACGAUACAUAGCCGACCUGAGAGGGUGAUCGGCCAUACUGGGACUGAGACACGGCCCAGACUCCUACGGGAGGCAGCAGUAGGGAAUCUUCGGCAAUGGGGGCAACCCUGACCGAGCAACGCCGCGUGAGUGAAGAAGGUUUUCGGAUCGUAAAGCUCUGUUGUAAGUCAAGAACGAGUGUGAGAGUGGAAAGUUCACACUGUGACGGUAGCUUACCAGAAAGGGACGGCUAACUACGUGCCAGCAGCCGCGGUAAUACGUAGGUCCCGAGCGUUGUCCGGAUUUAUUGGGCGUAAAGCGAGCGCAGGCGGUUUGAUAAGUCUGAAGUUAAAGGCUGUGGCUCAACCAUAGUUCGCUUUGGAAACUGUCAAACUUGAGUGCAGAAGGGGAGAGUGGAAUUCCAUGUGUAGCGGUGAAAUGCGUAGAUAUAUGGAGGAACACCGGUGGCGAAAGCGGCUCUCUGGUCUGUAACUGACGCUGAGGCUCGAAAGCGUGGGGAGCGAACAGGAUUAGAUACCCUGGUAGUCCACGCCGUAAACGAUGAGUGCUAGGUGUUGGAUCCUUUCCGGGAUUCAGUGCCGCAGCUAACGCAUUAAGCACUCCGCCUGGGGAGUACGACCGCAAGGUUGAAACUCAAAGGAAUUGACGGGGGCCCGCACAAGCGGUGGAGCAUGUGGUUUAAUUCGAAGCAACGCGAAGAACCUUGCCAGGUCUUGACAUCCCGAUGCUAUUUCUAGAGAUAGAAAGUUACUUCGGUACAUCGGUGACAGGUGGUGCAUGGUUGUCGUCAGCUCGUGUCGUGAGAUGUUGGGUUAAGUCCCGCAACGAGCGCAACCCCUAUUGUUAGUUGCCAUCAUUCAGUUGGGCACUCUAGCGAGACUGCCGGUAAUAAACCGGAGGAAGGUGGGGAUGACGUCAAAUCAUCAUGCCCCUUAUGACCUGGGCUACACACGUGCUACAAUGGUUGGUACAACGAGUUGCGAGUCGGUGACGGCAAGCUAAUCUCUUAAAGCCAAUCUCAGUUCGGAUUGUAGGCUGCAACUCGCCUACAUGAAGUCGGAAUCGCUAGUAAUCGCGGAUCAGCACGCCGCGGUGAAUACGUUCCCGGGCCGUGCACACACCGCCCGUC